This 380-nucleotide ribosomal RNA is filed under the name uncultured bacterium. RNAcentral describes it as "bacterial SSU rRNA". It matches the Rfam family "Bacterial small subunit ribosomal RNA", at positions 154 to 507 of the family's 1533-position model. The record is from RNAcentral.
AAACUCUAGCUAAUGCCGGAUGAGACCACGUAUCCCCUUCGGGGGUUGCGGCCAAAGAUGGCCUCUACUUGUAAGCUAUCGCUGAGGGAUGGGCCUGCGGGCCAUUAGCUUGUUGGUGAGGUAACGGCUCACCAAGGCUGUGAUGGCUAGCUGGGUCUGAGAGGAUGACCAGCCACACUGGGACUGAGACACGGCCCAGACUCCUACGGGAGGCAGCAGUGGGGAAUAUUGCGCAAUGGGCGAAAGCCUGACGCAGCGACGCCGCGUGGGUGAUGAAGGCCUUCGGGUCGUAAAGCCCUGUCGCAGGGGAAGAAUAAGCAUCGGUAUAAUACGCCGGUGCCCUGACGGUACCCUGCAAGAAAGCACCGGCUAACUCCGUG